This 274-nucleotide ribosomal RNA is filed under the name uncultured Eubacteriales bacterium. RNAcentral describes it as "uncultured Clostridiales bacterium partial 16S ribosomal RNA". It matches the Rfam family "Bacterial small subunit ribosomal RNA", at positions 68 to 339 of the family's 1533-position model. Lineage: Bacteria; Bacillati; Bacillota; Clostridia; Eubacteriales. The record is from RNAcentral.
AAGUUUUCGGAUGGAUUUUUGAUUGACUGAGUGGCGGACGGGUGAGUAACGCGUGGAUAACCUGCCUCACACUGGGGGAUAACAGUUAGAAAUGACUGCUAAUACCGCAUAACCCGCUAGUACCGCAUGGUACGGACGGAAAAGAUGUAUCGGUAUAAGAUGGACCCGCGUCUGAUUAGCUGGUUGGUGAGGUAACGGCUCACCAAGGCGACGAUCAGUAGCCGGACUGAGAGGUUGACCGGCCACAUUGGGACUGAGAUACGGCCCAGACUCC